Molecule: long non-coding RNA, 584 nt
Organism: Bolinopsis microptera
Lineage: Eukaryota; Metazoa; Ctenophora; Tentaculata; Lobata; Bolinopsidae
Exons: 3
Source: RefSeq, a predicted model, not a curated record
UAAAAGUGUUUCGCUGUAGUUAAGAAAUGCGUUCCUUCAUCACAUUGGCUGUGAUACUUGUUGUUUCGACGGCUGAAUCUGGUAUCUCGGAGGAACUGAGACUUAGUUCCAGAGGAGACAUGAGCAAUAACAGAGUUAUAACAUGCUCUGGGUUACAGAUAAGCAGAAUGGGUUGCAAUUGUCUAGCUGAUCUCUACAAUGAAAGAGGAUGCAGUAGAAGCCUUAGCUACAAUACCGGCAGUUGUGCCACGUACAACCACCAUUGUAAGCAUCUAAAGGACGGGAAGAAGAAGGAGAAGACUUGUUGCAGAGCUAUCAUGUGCUACAUCAAUAAACACGGAUGCUAAGCUGUGGAUUUAUGUAACCCUUGAAAGAUGGUUGAGAUUGUCAUUUCUUGAUGUUGAACUGUUGAACUAUAAUUACUGUAUGUCGUAUGAUUCAAAAUUUUGAACAACGUCAGUAAUUUAAAGAUAGCAUUAUUCUAAUUGAAUACCAGUUACCGUUAUAAACAGCACUCAGAGUUAAUUUAUGACUAAAUUAUUGUCGUUAAUUUCAAUAAAUAAUUGUGUUUGUUUUUUCUACCA